GAUGAACGCUGGCGGCGUGCCUAAUACAUGCAAGUCGAGCGAACAGACGAGGAUCUUGCUCCUCUGACGUUAGCGGCGGACGUGUGAGUAACACGUGGAUAACCUACCUAUAAGACUGGGUUAACUUCGGGAAACCGGAGCUAAUACCGGAGCAUAUAUUGAACCGCAUGGUUCAAUAGUGAAAGACGGUUUUGCUGUCACUUAUAGAUGGAUCCGCGCCGCAUUAGCUAGGUGGUAAGGUAACGGCUUACCAAGGCAACGAUGCGUAGCCGUACUGAGAGGGUGAUCGGCCACACUGGAACUGAGACACGGCCCAGACUCCUACGGGAGGCAGCAGUAGGGAAUCUUCCGCAAUGGGCGAAAGCCUGACGGAGCAACGCCGCGUGAGUGAUGAAGGUCUUCGGAUCGUAAAACUCUGUUAUUAGGGAAGAACAAAUGUGUAAGUAACUAUGCACGUCUUGACGGUACCUAAUCAGAAAGCCACGGCUAACUACGUG
This 497-nucleotide ribosomal RNA is filed under the name uncultured bacterium. Its description in RNAcentral is "partial 16S ribosomal RNA". It matches the Rfam family "Bacterial small subunit ribosomal RNA", at positions 28 to 507 of the family's 1533-position model. The record is from RNAcentral.